UACGGAGGGUGCAAGCGUUAAUCGGAAUUACUGGGCGUAAAGCGCGCGUAGGCGGUUUUUUAAGUCGGAUGUGAAAGCCCCGGGCUCAACCUGGGAACUGCAUCCGAUACUGGAAGACUAGAAUGCGGGAGAGGGAGGUAGAAUUCCAUGUGUAGCAGUGAAAUGCGUAGAUAUAUGGAGGAUUACCAGUGGCGAAGGCGGCCUCCUGGCUCGACAUUGACGCUGAGGUGCGAAAGCGUGGGGAGCAAACGGC
RNAcentral lists this ribosomal RNA (253 nucleotides) under uncultured bacterium. RNAcentral describes it as "partial 16S ribosomal RNA". It matches the Rfam family "Bacterial small subunit ribosomal RNA", at positions 524 to 776 of the family's 1533-position model. The record is from RNAcentral.